UACGGGGGGGGGCAAGCGUUGUUCGGAAUUACUGGGCGUAAAGGGCUCGUAGGUGGCCAACUAAGUCAGACGUGAAAUCCCUCGGCUUAACCGGGGAACUGCGUCUGAUACUGGAUGGCUUGAGUUCGGGAGAGGGAUGCGGAAUUCCAGGUGUAGCGGUGAAAUGCGUAGAUAUCUGGAGGAACACCGGUGGCGAAGGCGGCAUCCUGGACCGACACUGACACUGAGGAGCGAAAGCCAGGGAGCAAAGCGGG
RNAcentral lists this ribosomal RNA (254 nucleotides) under uncultured bacterium. RNAcentral's name for it is "partial 16S ribosomal RNA". It matches the Rfam family "Bacterial small subunit ribosomal RNA", at positions 524 to 777 of the family's 1533-position model. The record is from RNAcentral.